RNAcentral lists this ribosomal RNA (468 nucleotides) under uncultured bacterium. RNAcentral describes it as "partial 16S ribosomal RNA". It matches the Rfam family "Bacterial small subunit ribosomal RNA", at positions 28 to 507 of the family's 1533-position model. The record is from RNAcentral.
GACGAACGCUGGCGGCGUGCUUAACACAUGCAAGUCGAACGGAAAGGCCCUGCUUUUGUGGGGUGCUCGAGUGGCGAACGGGUGAGUAACACGUGAGUAACCUGCCCUUGACUUUGGGAUAACUUCAGGAAACUGGGGCUAAUACCGGAUAGGAGCUCCUGCUGCAUGGUGGGGGUUGGAAAGCUUCGGCGGUUGGGGAUGGACUCGCGGCUUAUCAGCUUGUUGGUGGGGUAGUGGCUUACCAAGGCUUUGACGGGUAGCCGGCCUGAGAGGGUGACCGGCCACAUUGGGACUGAGAUACGGCCCAGACUCCUACGGGAGGCAGCAGUGGGGAGUAUUGCACAAUGGGCGGAAGCCUGAUGCAGCAACGCCGCGUGCGGGAUGACGGCCUUCGGGUUGUAAACCGCUUUCGCCUGUGACGAAGCGUGAGUGACGGUAAUGGGUAAAGAAGCACCGGCUAACUACGUG